CCUACGGGUGGCAGCAGUGGGGAAUAUUGGACAAUGGGCGAAAGCCUGAUCCAGCCAUGCCGCGUGUGUGAAGAAGGCCUUCGGGUUGUAAAGCACUUUCAGUGGGGAAGAAAGCCUUGGGGCUAAUACCCUCGAGGAAGGACAUCACCCACAGAAGAAGCACCGGCUAACUCCGUGCCAGCAGCCGCGGUAAUACGGAGGGUGCGAGCGGUUAAUCGGAAUUACUGGGCGUAAAGCGCGCGUAGGCGGUCUGAUAAGCCGGUUGUGAAAGCCCCGGGCUCAACCUGGGAACGGCAUCCGGAACUGUCAGGCUAGAGUGCAGGAGAGGAAGGUAGAAUUCCCGGUGUAGCGGUGAAAUGCGUAGAGAUCGGGAGGAAUACCAGUGGCGAAGGCGGCCUUCUGGACUGACACUGACGCUGAGGUGCGAAAGCGUGGGUAGCAAACAGGAUUAGAUACCCCAGUAGU
Molecule: ribosomal RNA, 465 nt
Filed under: Vreelandella stevensii
Lineage: Bacteria; Pseudomonadati; Pseudomonadota; Gammaproteobacteria; Oceanospirillales; Halomonadaceae
Description: partial 16S ribosomal RNA
Rfam family: Bacterial small subunit ribosomal RNA
Source: RNAcentral